RNAcentral lists this long non-coding RNA (201 nucleotides) under Elaeis guineensis (African oil palm). Its description in RNAcentral is "long non-coding RNA (EGUI_LNC082893)". Lineage: Eukaryota; Viridiplantae; Streptophyta; Magnoliopsida; Arecales; Arecaceae. The record is from RNAcentral.
UUUUUUUUUCACUUAGUCAAAUUAGUGUAAUAUGGGUUUAAAUAUUUUUGGACUACUCCUGUUAAAAAACUAAGAAUAAAUUUAAAUUAAUCAAGUCACGAUGAAGUCAUCAAGGACUUCAACCAAAAGUUUUUGUUUGUGCUGUUUGAUUUAAAAAAUGAAACCAUCUUUGUUGCAAAAGUUUGCAUAAAAAUGAUAAUG